ACCGAACCAGAAAACAAUAAUCACCCAGGAUCUAGGGAAAAGACAGAUUACAAGAGAAGUAUCUUUUAAAACAAAGAAGAAUCAACUCAUGUGCACUAGGAUCGGUGCACUUGGGGACAAUAGAUUUCAACCUCUUCCACACUGUCUUGAUGUUGGUUCUGAAACUUUUGAGAACCUAAUUGUCCCCAGCAACUGAAAGAGUGUUGUAUCUUCUGCAAAACUGCUGUUUUUUGCUUAUAAAGGUUUGGGCGUUUCUUUCUCUCCGAACUUCCCAACACACCGCUGCAAACAGCUAUUGACUCACCUUUGCUAUCUUUCCUUCAUUUCCGCUCCUCCAAACUGUCCAGAGAUAGUGAAAUGAUGUAGGCCUCCCUUUUAAGACCAGUUGCGUUUUAAUGGUGCUCCAGAAACUCUUGGCAAAUGUGCAUCUAAAGAAGAGAUGAUUGGUAGAUCCAACAGUAGCUGCACAAAGCUUACAUCCAGCUCCAACAUUCCAACCUUUCCUAUUCAACAGUUCAGCGGGUUGCAGUCUGCUCUUGGAUGUCAACCAUAAAAACACUUUGACCUUUUCCGGGCAUGAAGUCGUCCAUAUGGCACGAUGAUAUGGGCACCUUAACCCCCCACAGCUGAGGAACCUGUAAAUGGAGUUAACAGAGAAUACACCAUUUUGGGCAAGUUUCCACUCAUUGGUUUGUGAUGCAGGUAAAAUGGUGGGGAUAUAGAAAGUAAUACGAAAAAUCUGGAGUUUUAUUCCUUGCUGUUUCAAGAAGAGUAGGCCAUUAUUUUGAAAUUGGCUAUUGGUUUAAAUGUUGCAGUUUGCUCGACAAGACAGGUAGAAUGCUUGAUUCUUUAUAAAGUACACAUGUAUAUAUGUGAAGAAAGUGCUUUUAUUGGUUUGUGGUAUACAUGUGCUCUGCUGUAUCCUAGAGCUAGGAUUCUUGAGAGUCAUGGUCAAAAGCAACCGGCUUGUGAUAAGAUAUUGUUGGCUCAUGCACAUGAAAAUUAAGAAUUUUAAUGGUUAUCAACCGUUGAAUGUUUA
Elaeis guineensis (African oil palm) is the source of this 1039-nucleotide long non-coding RNA. RefSeq lists it as uncharacterized. Lineage: Eukaryota; Viridiplantae; Streptophyta; Magnoliopsida; Arecales; Arecaceae. The record is from RefSeq and is a predicted model, not a curated record.